UGAGCUGCUGCAGUACUCCACCUAUUGC
RNAcentral lists this small RNA (28 nucleotides) under Bombyx mori (domestic silkworm). RNAcentral's name for it is "ovarian small RNA-32213". The record is from RNAcentral. Lineage: Eukaryota; Metazoa; Arthropoda; Insecta; Lepidoptera; Bombycidae.